GUCCUGCCUCGCGGUCUAGGGAAGGGGUCUCGGCCACCUCCUCCCGCAGCCUUCCAAAUCAAGAUGGACUCGCAGGAGACUACACCCUGCGUCUGCAGAACCUCAGAAUACAGAACCACCAGGGGUUCCUGGCCCAUGGCCCUGGGAGGAUUGCUGUUGGGGAGAUGGGAAGGAAUCUAGGGAGGCCGAGGCCCGCAACAACCAUCCCCGAGGACCUCAGAGCACAGUCUUCCCCCCUCGGGCAUCCCCAAAGAACAUUCAAGUCUGAGCCUCAAGGAGCCUCUGCGACUCGGUGUCUAGAUCCAGGAAAUGGAGAAUGAGCCGUGACUUUGGAUGCUUCACUCUUGUCCAUCAGGCUCGGAAUUGGGUAGCCCGGCUCUGCAGGGACAGUCACGGAGCUGAAAAACUGCUGCCUAAUGAAGCUGUUUUCUUCUACCACCGGCUCACCCUCAAAUUAUUUCCUGAGCGAACUCAAGAACCUUCCUGGGCUAAGCCCCAAUUUUGGGGCUCGCCUGCCCCUGCAUCACAGCUUCCUCUUCUGUUCACAGCUGCAACCGCCUACUCAACCUUCUGCGGUUCCUCUCCCUGCCCCUCCACAGUGGCUGCUGAUGGGAGCUCUGGCUCCCUGCGUUUUCACUAUCUCCCAGUCAAAUGCAGAGUCCCUGUGCAAUUUAAAUGCUUCUCAGCUAAGAACAGAGAAGGGGAUAGCAUAAGGAUAUUCAAAAGAUUCAAGAAAUCUCAAAAGUGAUCACAAAACAUUUGUCUCUGACCAACCAGAAACAUCGACGGGUGAGAAGGGCAUUUCCUCUAGCUGAAUUCUUCAUGGGUCUUCAGGCUCUGUUUUCACUUUGGAUUUUCUGGAGUCUCCUGAAGGUUACCUGAAAUCUUGUUGGUCCUGAAUAUUGUAUGUGGAGUCCCAAGCUGCAAGAAGUCAGUGGGGCUGGACGGGAGCCAAAAUCAGAGACUCAAGCAGCACAGCUGGGCCCCAUUGAAAGUGAGACCAGCUGUCCCAGUUGGAAGCUGGGGUAUAGAGCUGGGGAUGGGUGGAGGCAGUGACAGGCUCCAUGUAUUGGUCAUUCAGACUCCCCAGUAGCCUCAGGACCCAACUCCCACAGGUCAGAGAAGACCUGGUGGAGGGCCUUAUGCAAACCUCAGUGGGUGAUGCAGGAGGGAGUUUUCUGAGCAGGAAUGCCAACAAAAAAGGCCUUCAAAGGAAGGCCCUGCUUGGGAC
Homo sapiens (human) is the source of this 1231-nucleotide long non-coding RNA. The record is from Ensembl. NCBI's taxonomy places the organism in Eukaryota, Metazoa, Chordata, Mammalia, Primates, Hominidae.